UUUCAGCAAAUAUCUCCAAGCUUGUUGCAUUUCGUCUUAUUUGAAUUUUUUUUAUGGUUAGCAUUUUGGUUGUUAUUAGAUAAUAAAACAUGAACAAUACUUUAAUACUUUAUGCAUGACUACGUUUUAAAUAUUUUUUAAAAAAAUUAAAUAAGACGAACAAUCAAAGUUGAACAUGAAAAUUCAUGAUUGCGUUUAAA
RNAcentral lists this microRNA precursor (200 nucleotides) under Oryza sativa Indica Group (long-grained rice). Its description in RNAcentral is "MIR812 microRNA precursor family". It matches the Rfam family "MIR812 microRNA precursor family". Lineage: Eukaryota; Viridiplantae; Streptophyta; Magnoliopsida; Poales; Poaceae. The record is from Rfam by way of RNAcentral.